ACGGAAGGCAGCAGUGGGGAAUAUUGGGCAAUGGGCGAAAGCCUGACCCAGCAACGCCGCGUGAAGGAAGAAGGUCUUCGGAUUGUAAACUUUUGUUGUUAGUGGAGAAACAGGACUGUAGCUAACGAGAAAGCCCCGGCUAACUACGUGCCAGCAGCCGCGGUAAUACGUAGGGGGCAAGCGUUGUCCGGAAUUACUGGGCGUAAAGGGCGCGUAGGCGGCAUAUUAAGUUAGAUGUGAAAUUCCCGGGCUUAACCUGGGCGUUGCAUUUAAAACUGAUAGGCUUGAGUGCAGGAGAGGAAAGUGGAAUUCCUAGUGUAGCGGUGAAAUGCGUAGAUAUUAGGAAGAACACCAGUGGCGAAGGCGGCUUACUGGACUGAAACUGACACUGAGGCACGAAAGCGUGGGGAGCAAACAGGAUUAGAUACCCUGGUA
This 435-nucleotide ribosomal RNA is filed under the name uncultured Clostridium sp. RNAcentral's name for it is "partial 16S ribosomal RNA". It matches the Rfam family "Bacterial small subunit ribosomal RNA", at positions 341 to 792 of the family's 1533-position model. Lineage: Bacteria; Bacillati; Bacillota; Clostridia; Eubacteriales; Clostridiaceae. The record is from RNAcentral.